AUCAAAAUUUGCAAAGCAGUGUUUGCACAGGGCCUGGGGCCUAGUCAGUGCUCAAUACUUGGUAGCCAUUAUUAUGGCCAUUUUAAGUAUUAUUAUCAUUCUCCCUCUCUGCCAGAAGGGCUCCAGGAUGCUGGAAAUGGCUGCCCAGUUCCAAGCUGGGGCAACUGGGAGAGGAGGAGGCACUUCCCUACAUUCCCUUCACCUUCCCCAGGGGGCAGGGGUCUUCCCCUAGCUACUGACAGACAGUUCCUGUGUCUGCUGAGUCACAGCCAACUUCCUCUCGUACAAACAGGAAAGCAAAGCCGGCCAGCGGGUGUCCCCCCCCCCCACCCCCCAACACCACACACAGCUAAAGGCCAGCCCAGCUCUGAGGGGGAAGUGCCUCAGGUCCCGGGGGACAGGCUCCAAGGUUGGGGCUCCAGGCAAGAUGCCAAGAAGGGAGAGCAGCAGGGCAGCCGCAAAGCCUGGUUUGAGAGGAUGUUGCCUUGCUGCCCUGCAUCCCUGGGAGGAAACCUACACCAGGAGUUUGAAGACGGAGAAGCAGUUGAGGGCUCCUCUGCUGGGCUUCGGCCUCUUUGCUCCAAGUUAGAUGGCGGGGCUUCUGAAGGUUUGCCAGCUUGGAAGGCUGUGGAUAUCUGUGACUUGUGGAUGUCAGCUUCUGUUCCCCGUUAACCGGGUACCAGAGUCCAGCCACCCUGCUGGGUGUGGGAGAGGUGCCCUGGGGACUUAGGAUCCUAUGCUUUCCCUCCCCUUUUGACCAGACGGACGGGGAGGGGCCGGCGGCGGGGAUGCAAAGCCUGUCCCUCGCAGCACCCUCCUUCUCUCUCCGGUUCUACCCUUGUCCCAAGUUCCGUCUAGUCUCUGCCUCUUUGUCCCGCUCUUUAAGGCUGACUCGGCCUCCAACCCUGUUCCGGCUCUCCCCGCUCCCCUUUCUGGGCCCCUAAAGGGGCUGAGCUGGUUAGGCUGCGAGAUAAGCACAGCGGUUGGGUAAGGAGCCCAAACCUUUUGAAGACCGCCGCUUGCACAAGGAGUGGCCAGGGCCUCCGCGGAGGGAACCGACGAGCGGGACGGGGCGGGGCUCCGUCGGGGGAGGGCUGAGGGGAGGCGGGGGCGGGGCGGCGCGGCACCGGGGCCCGGGCGGGGCGGGCGGGGGGG
This 1155-nucleotide long non-coding RNA is filed under the name Ovis aries (sheep). RNAcentral's name for it is "lncRNA (ENSOARG00000025311.1)". The record is from RNAcentral. Lineage: Eukaryota; Metazoa; Chordata; Mammalia; Artiodactyla; Bovidae.